Molecule: ribosomal RNA, 460 nt
Filed under: uncultured bacterium
Lineage: Bacteria
Description: partial 16S ribosomal RNA
Rfam family: Bacterial small subunit ribosomal RNA
Source: RNAcentral
CCUACGGGAGGCAGCAGUGAGGAAUAUUGGUCAAUGGGCGGGAGCCUGAACCAGCCAAGUAGCGUGAAGGAUGACUGCCCUAUGGGUUGUAAACUUCUUUUAUAUGGGAAUAAAAUGUUCCACGUGUGGGAUUUUGUAUGUACCAUAUGAAUAAGGAUCGGCUAACUCCGUGCCAGCAGCCGCGGUAAUACGGAGGAUCCGAGCGUUAUCCGGAUUUAUUGGGUUUAAAGGGAGCGUAGGUGGAUUGUUAAGUCAGUUGUGAAAGUUUGCGGCGCAACCGUAAAAUUGCAGUUGAAACUGGCAGUCUUGAGUACAGUAGAGGUGGGCGGAAUUCGUGGUGUAGCGGUGAAAUGCUUAGAUAUCACGAAGAACUCCGAUUGCGAAGGCAGCUCACUGGACUGCAACUGACACUGAGGCUCGAAAGUGUGGGUAUCAAACAGGAUUAGAUACCCUGGUAGUC